This 287-nucleotide long non-coding RNA is filed under the name Nicotiana tabacum (common tobacco). Its description in RNAcentral is "long non-coding RNA (NTAB_LNC003284)". The record is from RNAcentral. Lineage: Eukaryota; Viridiplantae; Streptophyta; Magnoliopsida; Solanales; Solanaceae.
UGAGGUACUACCAGUUUCAUCUUUUGGAGAUUCAGUCACUCCAGCUCCACCACCUAUAGCUCCAGUUGUAGCUCCACCACCUACAGCUCCAGUUGUAGCUCCACCACCUAUAGCUCCAGUUCCUCCACAUAAUCCAGUUCAACCUUCUGCAGCUCCACCACUCUUGACUUAUCAUCGUCGUCCACAUCCAGCAUCAGGCCCAGGUGAUUCACGCCCCGCAUCAGAUUCUGCACCUACUGCGGACUUGUCUCCUCUUAGUCAACCAAUUGCACUCCGCAAAGGUCUAC